This 678-nucleotide ribosomal RNA is filed under the name uncultured soil bacterium. Its description in RNAcentral is "bacterial SSU rRNA". It matches the Rfam family "Bacterial small subunit ribosomal RNA", at positions 35 to 698 of the family's 1533-position model. The record is from RNAcentral.
GCUGGCGGCGUGCCUAACACAUGCAAGUCGUACGGGCUUGAGGGGCAACUCUCAAGUCAGUGGCGAACGGGUGCGUAACACGUGAGCAACUUGCCCUAUGGUGGGGGAUAGCCGGCCCAACGGCCGGGUAAUACCGCAUAUGGCGCUGAGGUCACAUGGCCUUAGUGGGAAAGCGGCCGCAAGGUCGCGCCAAAGGUGGGGCUCGCGACGUAUCAGCUAGUUGGCGGGGUAACGGCCCACCAAGGCUACGACGCGUAGCUGGUCUGAGAGGAUGGCCAGCCACAUUGGGACUGAGAUACGGCCCAGACUCCUACGGGAGGCAGCAGUGGGGAAUAUUGCGCAAUGGCCGCAAGGCUGACGCAGCGACGCCGCGUGUGGGAUGAAGGCCUUCGGGUUGUAAACCACUGUCGGGGGGGGCGAAUACCUGGCUUCGAAUAGGAGACCAGGGGUGACGGUACCUCCAAAGGAAGCACCGGCUAACUCCGUGCCAGCAGCCGCGGUAAUACGGAGGGUGCGAGCGUUGUCCGGAAUCACUGGGCGUAAAGGGCGCGUAGGCGGCCGUGUAAGUCACUUGUGAAAUCCCGGGGCUCAACUCCGGGGCUGCAGGUGAGACUGCGUGGCUAGAGCACGGUAGAGGCGAGUGGAAUUCCCGGUGUAGCGGUGGAAUGCGUAGAUAUC